Molecule: unclassified non-coding RNA, 472 nt
Filed under: Hevea brasiliensis (rubber tree)
Lineage: Eukaryota; Viridiplantae; Streptophyta; Magnoliopsida; Malpighiales; Euphorbiaceae
Source: RNAcentral
AUCAUUUGUUAUAUGGGAUUGUAAGAUCUUUUAUAUUAGUUUAUUAAUUCUUUAUUGGUUGCUCUCUCUUUCUCUUUUACACAUGCACACACACACACACAAGGGCUCAGUUUUGCAAUCAAUAAAUUUGAAAAUCAAAUUUGUUUCCUCAAGGGGAUGCCCUUUCGCACUUGGAAAUGGACUCAUAGGUUCAAAUUCCAUUAGAUUGGGGUUGGAGGACCUCAAAAUAUAAAUGAAUAAAGUGUUGUCUGGGUGUUAUAAUGCUCAACAUCACAACCUGGUCUGACCCCCUCCUCUUCAAAGGGGACAAGGAGUUCCUGUUAGUGUCACAUAUGCUUAGGUUGUUUAGUGUUUCCAUAUAUUCCAUUUGAUUAUGUCUAAGAGUAAUUUGAUGAACUUAUACUCUGUUUCUUACUUUAUUUAUAUCACAACACAAAAGUCAAACUGAAAUUUACAGGUAAACAAGAGCAAG